CUUAACAUGUUUUUACAGUGGUGCACAACAUCAGUGUAGUGCUCUAUAGCCAAUGAAUGAAAUUUUUUGCAAAGGCAUGUUUCGUUUGACAUUUCAUUCUAAGGCAGCAUAGGUAAAAAAGCCAAAGUAAUCAGAAAUAAAGGAGGGCACACAAAAUAUUACAAUGUUAACAUUUCAAAUAAUGGAAAUGUAGUCAAAUAGCUGUUUAACCAAGAUACUAAGGUUACCCACUGAAAAUUAACACAAGUUGGCAAGUUUAAGUUUGGUUUUCUUCAGGUUAAUGCAUUUUGUAUUGGUGGUCCGAAAAUUUUGCAAAGGACUGUAAAGGUCUUUUUGAGGGGUAUUAAAUUACAUCUUUUGGAAAAUGUACAGGAGUGUCUUUGUUGAGAGAAAUUUUGGUUUCAAAUCAUCUGGUACAAAUAUUUAGACUUAAAACUUUAAAUGAGAUCAACUCCCUUUUAUUUGCACUGAUAGCCAACUAAAUGUCCACAAAAUGUACACAGUCUGCCUAAUUAUCUCCAAAUUAUCGUUUUAUUAAUCUGCAACCAAUUUCAUGAAACGUGGUGUAACUUUGCACCAUGCAUAAGCUUUGUGCCACAAAUUUGUGUUGUACAUGUAGCUGUGUAGGUUUGAUGUUACGAAUAGUUGCUUAGCUGUCAAGUGUUUUCAUUAAAUUAAAUUUCUUGGAUGAGGACAAUAACAACUUUGAAGACGGCUUUUUCUUGGCAAGAUCACAGCAGUCAUCAAACAGUUGUUAGCUUACCUCCCACCAUGUUGAAGAAGUUUUUGUCAUUUCCCCAUCAGAACCAGACAGAAAAUCUUGUUCUCUCACAUCUAAACAAGUUUUUCAUUACUUUCUAAACAAGGUUGUAUGCGUCUCAUAUAAGCCUUCAGUUAAGCAGUUAUGAGUCUCAACUGAACACUGUAGGUUAGUCAAAUCGCUGAUUUUCACUCUGUACGAUGCAACUUACACAAGUUAAAAUGAUUGCAUAAGUUACGCCUCAAUUUGCAGCAUGACUUGUGUAGUGUUUAAAGUUUUGUGAAAUUGUUCUUAAUUUGUUGUGCAAUUAUACAAUAAAAUGUGGCAUCAGUAACAUUACGCCGUUGCAUAAAGUUUCGUGAAAUCGGCUGCAGAAGCUGCAAAUUUGUGUUUUAAAUGACCAAUGUCACUCUUAUAAGUUUGAAAAAUGACAUGUGGAGUUCCAUUUCAGUUUGUCUUUUGAAAAUAUGCCCUCUACAGUUUGAAAGUUCUUUUUCCACAGAAUUCAAAACACCAACUCUCAAUUUUUGAAAAUUAUGACUUUCAGUUCAUUUUGUGGUGACAGGUCACAGACAUGGCAUGCUGGUAGAUAGGAUGGUAUAUCAUGGAGAGGUCUGGAUUACAACACAUUGGUGUUAAUAAUUUUGAUAUCCAAACACAAGACCACAGUGAACAAGGUUCAAAGUGUGUACAUUUGCAAAUAGUGAUUACUUUUAAUGGCUCAAAGCAAACCUUCUUGAAUUUUCUCAACUCAGGUAUUCACAACAAAGACGAGCUCAUUUGACUUGAUAUUUACCCAUUAUUUGGUGUCCAAAAUGCCUUUUGGAGGCUCUAUUAGCGUUUUGUAUGUGUUUCUGAUCCUACCUACAUGUAUAUGUAGAAAAGAGCUUGUAAAAAUAGUGAAGUAUAGUGUUCUGUCUGUUUUUUAAUUAUUGUACUGAUAUUUUUUAAUGUAAAGACAGGUUACCCUUUGAUUUAACUGGUCAUGUGAUGUACUUCUAUUAGUAUUGUUGUGCAGUACAUUUGCCGUAACAUACAUUUAUAUGUGGACCUUGCUGUACUCAGAGGCAUGAGGACCCUUGUAAAUGCCUUGCGAUGUAAUAUACUUGUGGUGAUAUGAGGCUGUGGAUACAUGUAUAUGAUGAAUGUUACUCCUUUCUGUGUACCUUGAUGUACUUGUUCACGUGUCUUCACAUUGUUUGGGUACAUUCAACAGAACAGUUUUGGGAACAGUGAGUGAAACUUACAAGUUCAGGCUUUGACAAGCAAUUUUAGUUAUCUCUUGGUUAUGUUGUCAAAGUACAUGCGCAUUUAUCGUAACUUGAGAAACUGUACGUAUGUGAAUUAGUGAGACUGGAGACAUGCAUGUUCAUGUACAGCAUUAACAAAGGGCACUCUGUCUUGAAUGAAAAUUGGCAUGCUCCAGUAUAGCCACUUAAAGCUAUGAAAGCGAUCAUGUAAGCAUGAGCACAUUACAUUAGAACAGUGUCAAUAAGAAAGAAUUCCUCAUUUUGAGGCAAUACUCAGAUUCAUUUAAAAAAUCCUCAGAAACCAUUGUAACUCUGGAAAAUAUGAAUAAGGAAAGGAGUAAGGUUAGUUACACCGUGUGCAUGUACAUGCACGUGUAUAAAGGGCUGUAAUGUGUAUUUCUUAUGUGUCAGACAUUGGUUUUGUGUUUAAGUUCAUGUUAAUGGCUUUAAACAAUUCUGACAAAUUUGUCAUGAAAGUACAUGUUUUGUACAUAUGUACGAAAAGCCUGUGACACACCUGUGAAAUAGAUGUAUGUCCGCAUCCACACAGUUAAGGUUUGCUAAAAAACAUUUUUGGACUGAUACUCCCUAUGAACAAUUACAGCCAUCAGCUUCUUUAGACUUUAAAUCUUGUGGAUGGUGUUACUGCUUGCAGGACUACAUCCUGGAUGUAGAACAAUGAAAUGCACACAAAGUAAAGCAUACCAGUGUAUUAACCCAAUGAAUUCUGUGAACAGGGUGUCUGCUAUCUGAUGUUAAGACUUGAGAAGAUCUGGAUUAUGCUUAAUUACAUAUACAAAUGCAGUUAAGGGAAUGAAAUGGUGAAAUCCACUGUUAUUAACUGAGAAUCCAUGCACCUGGAAAAAUUUGUACACAAGGGAACAGUGAUCAAGUGUCAUAGAGUUUAUUUGUACACACCAGUUCUUGUGGAUGCUAUUGUAUGUACAAGCUUGAAAAGUUGUUGGCACAUGAUUGUACAUGUAUUCAAAUAUGAUCAUUGAUACUUGUGGACUGACUUCCCUUCUUUUUCGUAUAUUUUUAUUAGUAAUGAAAUGGAAAUUUGAAUAAAAAAGAAGCAAAACAAAGCUGAAAAAUUCUUAAAUGAUAAUAGAUGAGCUGCAAUCAUGUGACACCUCCAUUAAGGGUACGUAUGCAUGGAUUAUUAAUUUUGGGCUCAAAAAUGAGGCAGUAUUUUAAUAGAUUUUUUUUUAUAUACGUCAUGUAUCUAUCUUGGAAAGAGCAUUGUCACCGGUUGAUCACUCUGCAGUGUUUACAAGGUAAUAAAAUGUUAGCUUUGUACAUGUUUGAUCAAUGAGCCAUAAUUGUAGGAUUAUGAUCAUACACAUCUUUCUUCUCCUGAGAAACUUGAUAAAUCAGAUGUUUCUGGUUGUCAGACAAGUACAAAUUAGAUUUAAAGGUUUUGCGAUACUUCGUACAUGUAUAUAUAUACAUGUAUAUGUUUGAGGCCAUGAUGAAAUUAUUGUAGUAAACAGGUACAUGAUAAACCAUGCAAUUACAGGAUGCUCCAUUUUGAUGGCUACUGCUCCCACAAUUUUCUGAGCUGCAUUGUUAGCAUAACAGCUACAUGCGUUGAGGAUUGGACCCAGAGUUAAAUUCAUUACAUGCUGGCCUUGCUCUGGCCAAGAAGCUGUUGUGUUUUUUCUUGCAUUAUUGGGUUUAACUUUAUUGUAAUUUAUUUUAACUUAAAUGUUUUUGAAAAUAUACGAUGCCAACAGUUUGGCUACUGUCUACCAUUAGUUCUCGCAGCACAGGUCAUUCAAUGUCAAGUCAAAAAUCAGGCAGUUGACAUGCACUGGGAUAAAAGCAUUCAUAUGGAAAUGUUCGUGUUCUGUAACAGGGCUCUUGAUGGACUUGACUACAGUAGCAAAUGCCAAUCUUGUUAUACAGUUAGCGGAAUUAUACAAAAAUGAUGUUCAUGUAUGUUUGCCUAAAGAUAUUGUAGUGUUUGCUAAUCAAGCAUUACAUGCUGAAUAUCUUAUGUAUUUUGAGUAAGGUCUGGUAACCUUUUAAAGGCAGAACAAAGGAAUGUCUGCUACCAAAAUGUUACUAUUUUCUUUGUUGUAAUAGGUUGUGUUCAGUAUGCAAAUGAAUUGGUGUAUGUUGUAUAAUUCAUGUAUUUAGGGAUGUGAAUUAAAACAGCCUGUAUUGAUGGUAAGUUAUUUUUUUAAAAAUCAGAGCUUUUGUGAAAUGUAAAAUACAGGAGCCUAUGAAGUCCGAAACCUAUCAGGCUAUUUAUUCACUGAUGUAAACAUACUAUGACUUGAAAUAAAGUAGCUUUGUUAUUUAGAAUGGCACAUUAAAAUUACAUUUACUGUUACAUUUAUUCAUUGCAUUUGACAUCUCGCAAAUUAACCUUUGCAGAAAUAACUCACGCAAUUACUGAGUCGUGUUUCAAAGAGGGCCACAGCUCAAAUGCAUACUUGUAUAUUGUCAUAAUUGUGAUAAUUACAGGCAUGUACAUAUAGGAACCGGGGGUACAAAUAGCUCCCCCUCUUUCCCCCCCCCCCAAAAUAGUGGGGGGGCGAGCCCCCCCCCAAAAAAGUUGUGUAAUUGGCAUUCUCAGGGUGGGAGUAUUUGUAGCAGUGUGUGAUAAUUUUACUCAGAUCACAUUUAAAAAAUGGAAAUUUUAGAUUUUAUUUUUCUUCCCUCCACCCCCCAGUAGAAUCAUCUUCCUAUGUACCUGGUGAUAAAUGGUGCAGGCCAGCCUGGUGUGAAACCAACUCAGUCCCAAGUCAAUUUGUCUCUGUGGAAAAAUGUACAUAAACAGAUGCUGGGACCAGGAUGCACUGUGACAUGAUUAGCAUGACUUCCACCAUUGACAGACUGAAAAAGUAAGGAUAUAUCAACAGCAGUGUUGUAUUUGAAUCCAUCACGAGCGCCUGUAAUUCCAUCACAAGUUAUUAAAAUGAGUUGUGACAAAAGCAUUCUUUUGUCAUUGUUCAGCCUGUUACUUGGACUGGCCUUGCGAAAGGACUUGUGAAGGACUUAUGAAAGGACUUGUGACGGACUCAAAUGCAACACUGAUCGGCAGCCCUCUUCUCUUUGACGAAUGGAGCUUGAUAAAGGGUGCACUUUGGUUUGGAUGUACAGAAUCCAAAUGGUACUACUAUAGCAAUUGCUGAUGAGUGUUGAUUUUUUGUAGGUGAGUGUUAUGCAGUGCUACAAAAUCCAUAAAAUGUGUGGCUGUCAAACUUGAAGAUUUGUCUGGGAGGUUAUAUUGUUAAGAAGUUAAUUUUGCAUUCAUCUUCACCUCUGGCCUAACCGCCUUGCCUGGCAUGCUUUGGAUACGAUAUUACUAGGCAAGUAACAGUGGGUGAGGGAAGUAUCGGUGGUCAAGCCCAACACAAGAACCACACUGGACAGUUUAUAGUACUAUGGCAGAAUUACCAAAUCCCCCUCCCUCACAAUCACUGUUCCCCCAUUGGUCGCUCAGCAACUGUGGUAUUCCUUCAGGAAAAACCUACACCUAAUGCACAGGGCCAACCAGACAGUUCCCUCAUUAACCUCUGCACGGACAGCUAUGGCAAACCUCGGGCAGGACAUGAGCAACUUUGACCAGUAAUUUUGUAGCCUCUUUUAUCUACAAUUCAACCAUGCCAGGCAGAACUAAGUACUCUCAAGUGACUACAGAAUUUCAAUGGGAUAGCCUCCCUAUGCACCUCCUGGUUUUAGAUCUUCCUUUUUGUUGGUAGGCCCCAGGAUUCAAGUACUCUUCAUCAGGGUAAACAAACUGUUACGGAACAGAACUAAUCCCUAGCUUUCUCCCUGGUAUCCUAUCAUAGACCUACCACUGAUCUCCAUUAUAAAGACUGGAUGGGACAUGCAUGCAUGUUGGUGAAACUUUAAAACUUUGAAAUGUGGUCACACGCUGUGCAGGGGAAGUUAGUCUGGCUGAGGAAUCUGUUGUUCUAAUUUCUCUUUUUUGAUGAAAAAUGAAAGUAGGUAAAGAACCUAAGACCCAUAAACCAAGUAUGUAGCGUAGCAGGAGUUUUGAUUGGUAGAUUGUUGCAAUACAACUGGUUGUCCAAACAAAAUGUUAAUUUAAGCCCAUUUUUUAAUAAUUGGUUUCCAGUCGAAUAUCAUAACUUAAGUCUUUAUAUAAGUAGGAUCUUUUUAUUGCAAACUAUUCAGUUUAUUGAUAAACUUUUUAUUUCAUUGAAUUAACUUGUGUUAAUUAUUUUUAUGUGCAGAAUUCUAAGACAUGAAUACUUGAGAACUAAAUGAUGGGUACAACCUCGGCAAAGACAAAUGAUUAGUGUAAGCCACGAUGCCAUAGUUGUUCAGAACAUUUGUGUGUCCAGAAGGUUGGAGUAUAUUGCAAAUAUUUAUUUAUUUGCUGUCUUAUUUAUACAGGGUGGUCUCAUCAGUUAUAAAACUGCUUUCUAUGAAGGCCCCGUUUCAAUUCACACGAAUUCAAAUCAUGUAAAGAGUUAUUAAAAGCUUAAAUUGAAAGUAUCAAAGCAGGGAUACAGCCAAGUCUGUAAAACUAAAUGUGCAAAAUAAUAGGUCAUCAUAGAAGCGGAAACAAAUCCAAUGAAAAUUCCCAAAUAAGAGUUGUGAUCAGAAAAGUAACAUUUCAAAAACCAAUUUAUUAAUCAGAAACUCGCCAGAGUCACUCAGAAAGAAGUGUAAAACCUCAUCAAAUGGAAGUGAAAUACAUCUAUAUACAAGUACAUGUAUUUGAUAUUGAAGCAUAACAAAGACUUAAAGUAAGCGAUGGGGAAAUAAAACAAGAUGUUAUAAAAGGUAAAACGUGAAAGACUUCUUAGCGAACUGCCGCUAAGAAUGGUUAAAAUUAAAACUUGGAAAAGCAAGUGGUAUUAAAAUUGUAUUGAAGCAUAAAAUAUACAGCAAAACUGGAAAGGGUAAGUACAUUAUUAGAAUUGGCAGGUUAGUAAAAUAGGGUCUGUUAUAUCGGUCAAUCUGUUAUUUAAAUUUGUUUAAUACUAUAGUUAUUCUUGCCCAUUCUUUAAAACCAACUUCACACAGAAUUUGUUCAUGAGUAAUUGUCCAUUGUUUACAAUUGUUUAUACGUAUACAUGAUGUCCUCAAUUUUGCUCGCACUUGGGACUUUUGCGUUGUUUGGUAUAUUAUGUCCGUGCUAUUUUACAUGUAAGUUUUUAAGUUAAAUGGUAUUCGCUCUGUUUUUAUUCUCUUAAGAAUCAGCUAUUGUACCAGUAUAUUGUCAGCUCUGGAAAUAUGCAUUUUCUUAAACAUUAAUUAGUCGGCGGAGAACAAAAUGAAAUAAUUAGAUUUUCUCUAAUAUAUCAAAUAAAAGGAGUCUUAUUUUGUAGAGCUGCAGUCUUUAAUGAAAUGUGUGGAAUGAAGAGAAGAAAACCUUCAUACCCAGUACAAUGUGCCUUUUGUAUUACAUGUCAGGAUGUUACCAAAUGAAUUGUUGGCUUUUUCGCAUUUUGCAAAAAAUGCACUCUUUUUGGCAAGAUUUCUAGCCGUUUCGGUUUCCGGCCAAACAGCCUUAGCGAAAAAGGCAUUCUUUUUGUUGGCUUUUAUGCAGUUCUGCAAAAAAGGUAUUCUAAAGGUAUUCUUGUCUCGAUAUUUUUUGGCUUUUCCGCAACUUGCAAACAAGCAUUUUAUUUUUGUUCAGAUUGUUUUUUUUUUUUUUGCUUUUUCUCAAGUUGCAAAAAAGGCAUUCAUGUUGGUUUUUAAUUCUUCUUCCACGCCAAAUCCCCUUUGUUUUGUACACGUUUCUUCCACCAUCAACUUUAAUCCCCUAGCAACUGUGGAUAUUCCUCAAACUUUUUCCAAUGAAGGACCCUUGAACAAGGAAUUCUCUAACGCAAUGGUGUUGUGUUGACGUCUUAAACGAGUUGAUUUUUUGUAUUUAUUUAAGCCCAUUGACUUUGUACAUGUUUUCAAGGCAACAUUUUGAUAAUGUAGAGAUCUUCAAUCGUCCUGAAAGUUACAGCCAGCAAAGACCAUAAAGCAAAGAUAAUACUAAAACAAUUAUGUCAUGAUAAUUUUGAAUAUUUAAAAGUUACGUCAAUGUUGGAAAAAUCUAUAUAAAAUGGACCGUUUCCUCCCGUUAAAUUCAGUUUGCAGCAAAUGGCAGCCUUUCAGUAGAUCACCCAACAUUCUUGUCAUAACCUGGAUAUUGUUUUCUUAAGGAGAUCAACCAUUUACCUUCUUCCUCCAAUGUGUGGAAAAGCUGGACCUACCGGGUUACCUGCACUCCUGGAAAUUCCAGAGGAUCAGGUGUGUCUAUUCUCACGAAACCUAAUUAUUCAGUCCAGAAUCAUGAUGUUAUUCUUGAAAGUUAUUUACUUUAUGUUCAAGUUAUUCAUGAUUGUAAUACCUAUCAUGUAUAUGAUGUAUACGUUUCAUAGGGUGAUAAUGAUGCUCAACGACUCUUUGAAGCUCUAGAAUUGUUUCAUUAUGGGCUGUCCCACAUGGAAAGACGAUCGGGAGACUAAUCAGAAACCCUCAGGAAGACAUGAACUAGCUCACUUGUGCAGGUGAGAGGUCAACAUAUAAUGUAUGCACAUACUGCUUUCAACACAUCCUCCCCUUUUUGAAGAGUUUGGGGCAUCAUAAAUUAUAUCACUGAAGUGAGCUUUAAACAAACUCUGAAAGAUUGUAAACAGUUAAAUGUUGAAUAUCGACUUCAACACUUCUCAACGUUUGGAUACAAAGUAUUUAAACAUCUCAACUUUUGAAUGUCAACAAUUAAGAAAUUGUAAUGUGAACACUGAGUUUUGUUUUGAGGAUGUGGACUGGAUGGGACAAUGGUGAUUAGUAUUUGAUGUAUUCAAUUCUUGUUGGUGGUUUGAUCACUCUUCCUGAUCUAGUGUGUCAUUCUUGCAGGAUUGGGCUGUUUGGGCUGUUUGUGUGUAGCUUUUUUAUUUGUAGUGCUCCGUUGCUCUUCUGUUUUUCCGUUUGCCUUUCUGACGUUUGCUCGUACGUGUGGGUGUGACAGCUGUUCUCGGGUAGACUAAAGUGAUGUUGGGUUUGUGCAUUUUUCCUAGGUAGACCUUCCUUCUGGGAUCACUUGGGGUGGUUCUGAUUUCUUGAGGUCGAUUCGGUUUCGUCGAAGUAGAAGGCUGUUUUCUGUUUCGACUUCAUAUGAUCUCUGAUCCAGUCGUUUCUUGCCUUUUGCCAUUUCGUUUCUCCUUGUCUGUAUGGUUUGAGUCUCGCAACAUUGCCUUCUUCGAGUUCUGGGAGAUCUUUGGCAUGCUUAUUGUGCUUAUUGCGCUCUUUCUUUUUGCAGAAAUUCUGAUCCUCUUUGCUUCAACAGGUUGCUGAUUGUUGGUAGAGUCGUUCAUGUUCUUCUGCCAUGUAGCCGUUGUGCAUGGCUGGAGCUGAUCCCUUGGGAGGGAGUGUUUUCUCGUGUCCAGUAAGGUAAAGUAGACAUCUGUCUUUGAGUGGGAUGACUUCUUUAUCAGUCACGUUGCUGCCUUCACAGCUGACUCUGCCUUUCUAUUGGCUUGGUAUGUCUUGGGGAGCAGGUGUAGUGAUCGAAUCCCCAUUUUUUAGAGAAGUUUGCAAACUCUGGCGAACUGUAUAGUGGUUCGUUAUCACUCACAACAGUGUUUGGGAUCCCAUAUCUGGCAAAGUGGCUUUUCAGUUUGGUUCUGAUGGUCUUGCUGUUGAGGUCAUAUAGACGGUCUACUUCGGUUGUCUCUGAAGUUGAAGAAGGGGUGUGUUGUUUCUGGGACGUCAGAUUUGUGUUCUGGCCAACUUUCUGGAUGAUUAUCUUGACCAUUGCAGCACUUCAUCUUCCCUGGUAGGCCUCUGGAGGCAUCAGAUUCUGUCCUCAUUCAUGCUGAGGGAGUCAAUACGAGGUUGACUUCUCCAAAUUCCGAUGAUCCGGUGAUGUUUGGAAGAUAUGCCCUGGAUAGCAUAUCCACCAAAUACAUGUCUCGUCCCUUUACCCAUUUGAUAUCCACAUCAUAGUGCAACAUUCUCAUCAACAUGCCUUUAGGGCAUCUUGGUGCUCGGUGGAGGGGUUUCUUGACUAUGGCCUCCAAUGGUUUAUGGUCAGUCCGUUCUAUGACUCUGUCCAAAGGUGGAUUGAUGGAAGCGUUCUAAUGCAAAGACUACUGCUAAGGCUUCGUUUUCAAUUUGGGCAUACUGCUGUUCCGUAGGUGCAGGGUUCGACUGGCAUAUGACAGUGGUUGACCUUCCUCUCGUCUCUCCUUCACUCUCGUCGAGUGUCGCUCCUAGACCUGCUUUGCUGGCAUCACACUGUAUGGUGAGAGGCUUAUCAGGGCCACCAUAGUAUGCACCAUAAUGGGUCCCAUAUGCAGCCGGGCCGCGCGCCCGAUCAACGUGAUAAAGGCUUUAUCAAAGGCCGCAGAGCUACGUAUCGUGCGAAGCCAAAGAUAGAGAUUGAUUCGUCAAAGUAUACAUGUACAUCAGUACCAUAGUCAGCCAAACUGGAGUCCUGCGCAGAAAUUAGUUGAGAUAAAUUUGACAAAACACAUGGAGCAGCCUACUACAAGUGAACUCAGUGCAGAUGCUUCUGAGAGUGGAAGCCAUAUCCAACCUUCAUGGACAUGUACUCUUGGAAAAUAUUCCAAUGAGCUAAUUUUCAGUGACAGCAAGUCAGGACUCCAAACUGAUUCAUAUCAACCAUUUUGUGAGAGAAUGAUUCAGCACACUCAAGAAUUGAGGUCUAUCUCCCAGAAUUGUAUAUCCCCAGCGCCCAUGGAACAGAAUGCUGUGACAAGACGUGCUGAUAGUGAUCUUCAGAGAAUGAGAAAUGUAGAAGUCCACCAACAUAGUGAAGUUUGUGUUCCUACAAGUGUUGUUCCAAUUCUACCAGUUGAACCAACUUUGUCAUUACCAGAAGUCUCCAUUAACUAUCAAGACUCAACAAUCAGUUCUCAUGCUAAAUCAUGUGACUUCAGUACCCUAAGGAAAUCACGACUUAAGUGUAGCAAAAGAAAUAAUGGAAGGAACUUGAAAUCAAGGGAGCAGUUUCAUGGCAAGAGGAGCCAGCAUUUCACUGAGGAAGACAGGUGCAGCACAGACCCGCGUCUAGAUGGCUUGAAAGUGAAGGCUACUCUGAACCGCAGCUAGUGAUGGUCGGAGAAGCAUAUGGCUCCCCUCAUUGCUUGGGUGUUACUUGCCCCCAAGCAAGCAAUUUAUUAGUGAGGAAAAAAUGGCUGCCAGGAUGAGCCACCUGAGUAUCACAAAUGAAAACACUAUGGCUUCCCUACAAGAAAGAUGGUUGCAAGCCAAGUUAAAAACUAAGAGACAACUGGAAGAAAUUGAAAGAAGAUUGUCAGAUUCUGAGUCGGAUAAUGAUGAUGAUUCUAACAGUGAUACAAGAGAUGGCAAGCCUCGUCAGAUUCAAGUCAGUCCAGAACUCAAGAUGGCCAUGGAAAAACAAGAACCACUCUUACCGGACUCUGUUGUCAAGUCUAUAGCUAAUGUCUGCACUGAACUUGUCUUAUGGAAACCACCCUCGUCAUAUAUUAGUGGUACCUUCAACCUAUCACCCAAUCUGGACUUGGUUUCCACGGAUAAAUCUGAUGUGCCUUCUAGUAACAAUAUGAAACCGUCUGGCAGUGAAGCGUCUGGUCUACCCUCAGCAAGUAUUCCAAAGAAACAAUCAGACGACACUUCUCAUAAAUGCAGUUUUACAGACAUAGUUUAUGGGGAAAUUUCUCCAAGUUGGACAAGUGUACCUGAUGAGUUCUUUGAUGGUGUGGAUGAUAACAUGGAAUUUUAGGACUUGCAAAGUGCAAUGAGUGGGUCCAUUUGCUGGCUUAUAUCAGGACAAGUAUUGUACAUUCAUCACAAAAAGAGACCGUGUCUCCUGUAUGAACUUUGUGAUAGGAGAUGAGGGAGCCUUUGAAUUGACCUCAACCAGUGGUGUUGGGCAGUAUGUUAGCUUAGUCAAAACCACUCUAGUCAAAGAAGCCUGGAGGAGGUUGUAGUGUGUCUGUCUGUCCAUCUGGAUGUUUCUUAAUUAGUAAUAUUUUUGGAAUGACAUAUUGUUCCCAACCUCACUAAGGCACAGCUAUUGUCGUUGAAAUAUUCUUUUUUGCAACCAUGUUUUCAUUUUGUGCGCCACUUUGAGGGUUUGGCCAGUUCAGAUUGUCAACAUUAUGACAUUGUCAUGGUUGAUUUUGGAGCAAUGUUUAUGGUACCUGUAACCAAACUCAAUCUUCAUUUCAAUGUCAUGAAUAUUUAAUUGCAUACAUAUAGCACUGAGUGUAUUCGUAUUUUGGCGACACAAGGGUUUCGGUCUUUUCCAUCGUUGAAUCGUGCUCGAGAGACAUCCCUCUGAAAACAAGCUACAUGUAGCUUUCUCACCUGCAAAUAUUAUAUUUGGGUAGUUGAUAGCGAAGCCAGCUUUGUAUCACACUUAUCUUUAUUGCAUCAGUGUACAGGUGUUUUUGUUAUGUAAGUUGUUUAUAGUAUUCCUUGGUCUUAAGAGGAGAUCAUUGUCGAGUCAUAGAAUAAACCAUGAUGAUCCAAGCUCAUACAUGUCAUCUCCAGUUUAUCCCUUACUGUAGAGUACACACUCUGAAACCAGUGGAGGCUCAGGCCCCUGUCCCCCUUGGGUUCACUGCUACCUGGUGUUUCCCCACGUUAGUAUGAUUCUUUGCAACAAAACAAAACAAGGUAGUUUUGAAAUUCUUUUCGCAGUACCUUUUAUUAUCUAAGUACAUGUAGAUGUAUGGGUACAGGCUGUUUGGAACAUUUAGUGAUGUCAUGAUGAUGCCAUCAAGUGUGUGUAUAUGCCUUCCUCAUAAUAUGUCUGAAGUAUCAUCGUGGUGACAUUUUCUUUAAAUUAAUUUUUCAUGGACAUUUUGCUGGGGUUUUCUUAGUGCUUCUAAUCACAUUUUUUUGGGCACUAUUCCAAGUCAAAUCAACUUGAAACGUCUAAGAUAUAAAGUCACAGGUGAAGACAGGUGUUCCUGACAAGAAUGGUAUGAUGAUGUCAUCAGGUAUCACAUGGUUCUUCCCUAAAGAUGCAUAUUUAUAUGUGUUAUUAAGAAAGGUCUUAAACUUUGAGUGAGUGAAAAACAAUAGCUUUAAAUAAUAAAGCUCAAACAGUGAGCCCAUCUGAGGCAAAGUGUUGGACAAUGCUCUCGGUGUAAAUCUACUGCAUGUUGCAUUAAGUUAUGCAGGGAUGAGUCAAAGAAAAAUUGGUUUUGUUUCAUGAUUUAACUUCCAGUGCGAUCACCCAAAAUGUGAAACAUAAAAGAAAAUGAAUACUAAUUGAACAAAAUGAGAUGAUCAAACAUUAUUUGGACACCAUUGAACUCUGUUUUAGACACUUACACAGAUGAUGAGCGCAAUCCAGACUAGGCAUGACGGGUGCACUUUUACAUUAACUGGUAACACCAGUCACUAUGAAGCAGCUGCUCAGAAAUAAUUUCUGAACAGAAUGGCUCUGUCCAUACGAAACAAGUUUAAACAACCUCCAUUAAAUAAUGCCUCCACUUAGAUAUCUUCACUCUGAUUGAUUAAAAAAAACAAUCCUCAUUUUUGGGGGGGGGGAUGGCCGCCUUUGCCCCCCCAUCUGCCCUUGUCUCUGAUGGGUAUUACAUGAUGCACUCAAGUCAAGAGGGAAACCGUUCAUCUUGAAAUUCUCCCAAUAGUGAAUUCUGGGAUGAUGACAUCAUUGUUGAACUUCAGAAACUGGUUCCUGUCCAUGGAAGCAUGGCACGAUUUAUGUGAUGACAUCUUCAACCCUUGUAUAGUGAUGGCAUGUUACUCAAAAUUAUAAUUUGGUCGGCAGUACAAACAUUCUUCCACUUUUAAGUGAUAUAGUCGCAUAUCACCACACUUCCAGUACCCCAGGAAGUAAAGAGCAUGCUUCUGUGUGUCUCGAAAUGACAAAUUUUGCUCAAAGUUAGAUCUACGUUCCAGAUUACAAUAUAUGAAUGUGUCAUUGCCUGCAAUCCAAAAGUUGUAUAUUUCUUUCCAGUUGCACUAUAAAUUGCUCGUAAUUUGCUCUAUGAUGACAUCAUAAUGACAUCACAAAUUAUGCACAUUCAAGUACAAAGAUUUAUGUGCAUUCUAGGUUUCACGUUUAUCCCACAAACGAUGAUUAGGAAUGUGUUGGCUGGUGUUCAAAUCGAUGCAAUUUUUUGCAAUAAAAUUUUAACUGUGACCUUGCAUUAACCUUUUUUACUCUUACCCAAAACAAGUUUUUUCUAUAACAUCUCUGCCUAUACACUUAUUUUCUAUUAAGCGUGAUCAGACAUGUAGUGGAGUAGAUAUUGGUAUGUGAGGAGUGUACUAUUUGGUUGUGUCAUGAAACAUAAAUGUAGCAACAUGAUGAUGUUUUGCUUAUAACCCAUCCCUUUAA
This 14320-nucleotide unclassified non-coding RNA is filed under the name Acanthaster planci (crown-of-thorns starfish). RNAcentral describes it as "uncharacterized LOC110987564, transcript variant X4". Lineage: Eukaryota; Metazoa; Echinodermata; Asteroidea; Valvatida; Acanthasteridae. The record is from RNAcentral.